GAUGAACGCUGGCGGCGUGCCUAAUACAUGCAAGUCGAGCGAACAGACGAGGAGCUUGCUCCUCUGACGUUAGCGGCGGACGGGUGAGUAACACGUGGAUAACCUACCUAUAAGACUGGGAUAACUUCGGGAAACCGGAGCUAAUACCGGAUAAUAUAUUGAACCGCAUGGUUCAAUAGUGAAAGACGGUUUUGCUGUCACUUAUAGAUGGAUCCGCGCCGCAUUAGCUAGUUGGUAAGGUAACGGCUUACCAAGGCGACGAUGCGUAGCCGACCUGAGGGGGUGAUCGGCCACACUGGAACUGAGACACGGUCCAGACUCCUACGGGAGGCAGCAGUAGGGAAUCUUCCGCAAUGGGCGAAAGCUUGACGGAGCAACGCCGCGUGAGUGAUGAAGGUCUUCGGAUCGUAAAACUCUGUUAUUAGGGAAGAACAAAUGUGUAAGUAACUAUGCACGUCUUGACGGUACCUAAUCAGAAAGCCACGGCUAACUACGUG
This 497-nucleotide ribosomal RNA is filed under the name uncultured bacterium. RNAcentral describes it as "partial 16S ribosomal RNA". It matches the Rfam family "Bacterial small subunit ribosomal RNA", at positions 28 to 507 of the family's 1533-position model. The record is from RNAcentral.